RNAcentral lists this ribosomal RNA (438 nucleotides) under Brontocoris sp. BCG-2020. Its description in RNAcentral is "partial large subunit ribosomal RNA". The record is from RNAcentral. Lineage: Eukaryota; Metazoa; Arthropoda; Insecta; Hemiptera; Pentatomidae.
UGCUCAAUGAUUAUUUAUUAAUUAAAUAGCCGCAGUAUAUUGACUGUGCGAAGGUAGCAUAAUCAUUUGUCUUUUAAUUAAAGGCUUGUAUGAAUGGUUGGAUAAGGGAAUAACUUUCUUUAUAUUAAUUAUUGAAUUUAAUAUUUUAGUUAAAAAGCUUAAAUAUUUAAGAGGGACGAGAAGACCCUAUAGAAUUUUAAUUUAAAUUGUAAUAUGUAGUAAUUUAGUUAUUAAAUCUAAUUUUGUUAUUUAUAAUUUUUGUUGGGGCGACAUUAGGAUAUACUAAACUCCUAUAUUUUAAUAUUUAAUGAUUUUUAUAUUUUGGAUCCUGUAUUAAGGAUUAUUAGAUUAAAUUACCUUAGGGAUAACAGCGUAAUUUUUUUGGAGAGUUCUUAUCAAUAGAAAAGUUUGCGACCUCGAUGUUGGAUUAAAAUUAGA